CAAUGGCACCAUCCCAACUAACUCCACAGUAAAAGACGCCCUUGUUAAUGCGACUAGCACCAACUCAAGCUUGAACAUUAUUCCAAACUCUGUAAAUGUCACCCAGGUUCCUGUGACAAACACCUCUUCAACAGACACUUCAACAAACACUUCAACAAACACGUCUACAAACACUUCUGUACCAGCUGCAGCAUUCAACUUGGUCUUUAGCAUCAAUGAAACCUUUGAUCCAGCACUGGCCAAUACCAGCUCUCCAGAGUUUACAGCAAAAGCUCAAAGUAUCCGUAAUCAGCUUGAACCAAUUUACAGACAGCGCUUCACUAACUUCCUCCGGAUGGUAAUUAAUGGUUUCAGGUGAGAAAUAAUAUACAAAGACAUUGUGCUGAAUAAGUGUUUUUCUUUAUUGUUGAUGAAUUUCAUCCUGUAUUUACCUAUGGUUGUGUUUUAGGAAUGGUUCGAUUGUGACAAAUUCAACUCUUGAAUUUAGUGCCAAUGGCACCAUCCCAACUAACUCCACAGUAAAAGACGUCCUUGUUAAUGCGACUAGCACCAACUCAAGCUUGAACAUUAUUCCAAAUUCUAUAAAUGUCACCCAGG
Long non-coding RNA from Ictalurus furcatus (blue catfish), 597 nucleotides. RefSeq lists it as uncharacterized. The transcript is spliced from 3 exons. Lineage: Eukaryota; Metazoa; Chordata; Actinopteri; Siluriformes; Ictaluridae. The record is from RefSeq and is a predicted model, not a curated record.